Brassica napus (rape) is the source of this 851-nucleotide long non-coding RNA. RefSeq lists it as uncharacterized. The record is from RefSeq and is a predicted model, not a curated record. The transcript has 2 exons. Lineage: Eukaryota; Viridiplantae; Streptophyta; Magnoliopsida; Brassicales; Brassicaceae.
CCUGGAAAGGUUUUUAACGAGGCAACAAAGACGUUAAGCGAGAGCGAAUAGUGACACCGGCCCCCAAGGGGGAGUGUUAUAAAAGACAUAUAGAGACAGCGCCGCUUUCGUUGAAAAUAUAAAAAGAUGUGGGGCCCGCUGCACUAUUUGCACAGUAAAUUUUCUUCUAUAUAUACGAACGUUUGCGUUCGUUUGUAAAUACACUGAAAACUCUUCUCUUCCUUUCAAUAAGAAACACUCUCUCUAUAUCAGUGUUAUCUUCUCCUACGGAUAUAAAAUUUUGCUUCAUUUAAAUUCCUGCGAUAUAAUAAAAUUUCAGUUCUUUUUAUAACAGUUAGAUGAAUAUUAAUGAAUUUUAGACGGUAUACAUUCAUUUUCUAGUCCAAUUGUUCAUAAGUAUCAUUUCACGUACUACUUAAUUCACUAAAGUCCAUAUUAAUGUUUUACGGAAUUGUACUAAUCUUGAGAUCUAUCGUGGAAAAUACUGCGGUUGUCUGUCUUGCAAUCAAAUUUUUGUACAACUUUUUUAGUUAAUUCUAAUAUAAAUUUCUCAAUGAAAAGUACGUAUGUAACCGUGGUUACUAAGACUGUAACUCGGUAGAGAUAUAUGUGAAAAUUACUUAUAGAAUAUCAUAUAACUUGAAUGACAUAUGGUGCAAACUUAUUAGGUGAAGAUAUGAAAAUCAAACAUAAGUGAUAUGAACCAAUCACAUAUGUGUGUGUUUCUCUUCUCGCUUUCUGAUUUUAUCUUUUAAGACCGAGCAUUAAGAGGACAAGCUUGAAGUAAGCUUCACAAAAUGCUAGUCUAAUAAAAGUGAGCUUGAAGUUGUUCCAUGGAGGGUAUCGAGGUU